Molecule: ribosomal RNA, 484 nt
Filed under: uncultured bacterium
Lineage: Bacteria
Description: partial 16S ribosomal RNA
Rfam family: Bacterial small subunit ribosomal RNA
Source: RNAcentral
AUUGAACGCUGGCGGCAGGCCUAACACAUGCAAGUCGAGCGGAUGAAGGGAGCUUGCUCCUGGAUUCAGCGGCGGACGGGUGAGUAAUGCCUAGGAAUCUGCCUGGUAGUGGGGGAUAACGUCCGGAAACGGGCGCUAAUACCGCAUACGUCCUGAGGGAGAAAGUGGGGGAUCUUCGGACCCCAUGCUAUCAGAUGAGCCUAGGUCGGAUUAGCUAGUUGGUGGGGUAAAGGCCUACCAAGGCGACGAUCCGUAACUGGUCUGAGAGGAUGAUCAGUCACACUGGAACUGAGACACGGUCCAGACUCCUACGGGAGGCAGCAGUGGGGAAUAUUGGACAAUGGGCGAAAGCCUGAUCCAGCCAUGCCGCGUGUGUGAAGAAGGUCUUCGGAUUGUAAAGCACUUUAAGUUGGGAGGAAGGGCAGUAAGUUAAUACCUUGCUGUUUUGACGUUACCAACAGAAUAAGCACCGGCUAACUUCGUG